RNAcentral lists this small RNA (175 nucleotides) under Paenibacillus rhizosphaerae. RNAcentral describes it as "c-di-AMP sequence". It matches the Rfam family "c-di-AMP riboswitch aptamer (ydaO/yuaA leader)". Rfam says of the family: This family represents a conserved RNA structure found upstream of the ydaO and yuaA genes in Bacillus subtilis and related genes in other bacteria. The ydaO/yuaA element is thought to act as a genetic "off" switch for the ydaO and yuaA genes in its native state. The record is from RNAcentral. Lineage: Bacteria; Bacillati; Bacillota; Bacilli; Caryophanales; Paenibacillaceae.
UUAUCAAUAACGCUUAAUUUCGGCCGGAAACGGCCGGGAGCGGGGGAACCACAGCGGCCGCCUGGAAUGGAAGCCGCCGGGGUGAAUCUUUCCGGUACGGUAAGUACCGGAAGGUAGGGCGACUCUCACGCCCGAAUCCGACAGCUAACCUCGUCAGCGUAACGGGAGAGAGACA